Molecule: long non-coding RNA, 1164 nt
Filed under: Gouania willdenowi (blunt-snouted clingfish)
Lineage: Eukaryota; Metazoa; Chordata; Actinopteri; Blenniiformes; Gobiesocidae
Description: lncRNA (ENSGWIG00000024488.1)
Source: RNAcentral
CUUUUCUUAUAGAUAAAUGUGGUCAGGUUUCUAUAUGUAGACAAAAAAAAGUCUAGAUUAUCCAGAUUUGCUUCUGUUUUACAUAUUAAGCAGGGCGUUCGUGAUUGACAGACUCAGCAUUUUAAUGAUUAUAAAUUAUAACCAAAUUCCAUAUUCAAAUGUUAAAAACAGAACAAGAUCUUUAAAAAAGGGUAUAUAUUUUAGUGUUUCUUUUCCACAAUCCCAUAGACUUAACUGUAAAAUUACGUUUUAUCCUAUAAAACUUCAUGUGCAUCAAAGUUUAAACAAAGGCCCGUCAGCACAUGCUGUCAGUUUACCAACAAUCACCUGUUUUGGUGUUUUUACCAGUCCAAGAGUCUCAUCAGCUGCUCCAUCAGACUCUCUAGCUUCCUGGCAAGUUUCAAGUGUUUUCCCAGUAAAAGCCCAUUAUCCCAGCAAGCUGAGCACCAUCCACUGACAAACAAAGGCAGCAACAGCCUUGCUCCUCAUUCACGACACACUAGGGUCUGCACAAUAUAAGGCAGACAAGCGACAAAAUGAGCAGGACAUCUGGUUACGAGUACAGCUGCUCACGGUCAAACGGACUCUCUUCUAAACUAUUUGGCUCGACAAUUGUUUUUGUUUCUGCCGCCUGGUUUGAAACUCCACAGGAAGGUCUUUACUUAAAAGAGUUAGGUUUUUGAUCCACAUAAAACUGAGUGCCAUGUGUUUGCUUGUGUCAUUCAGGAGUAUUGACUUGGAGUUUCAAAUGCCCGGAGCUGGAGUUUGAGGCCCUAUUCAGGCUUCAGGCUUAAGAUUCAUCCUUUAAACGAGAAGAAGCAGAAGAAGAUGGUGAAGAUUUGCCUGUUCUGUGUUUUCCUCAUCUGCUUGAUUGAGAGAUGCUCAUCAAGGGUUUUCAACCCCAACACAAAAGAUCUCAGUGUUGCAAGGCCUCUAAUAGUUCCAGGUUACCCAGAAAACUCCACAGCUGUAGUGGGUGGAGAGGUUAAGCUGAUAUGUAAAGUCCACCGUCCUGCAUCCACUAAGGUACAGUGGUUGAAGACGGUAACCAUCCAAUCAGAGCAAAGCAAGGACGCAUCAACUCACCUCAAGCCUCUAAUGGCGUUGCAGGCUAAUGGAUCUAAGCUGAGCACCCUUCAUUUAUCAAUAUCACUUGGCAGAUGA